RNAcentral lists this ribosomal RNA (253 nucleotides) under uncultured bacterium. RNAcentral's name for it is "partial 16S ribosomal RNA". It matches the Rfam family "Bacterial small subunit ribosomal RNA", at positions 524 to 776 of the family's 1533-position model. The record is from RNAcentral.
AACGUAGGAGACGAACGUUAUCCGGAGUUACUGGGCGUAAAGGGCGUGUAGGCGGUUUGUUAAGUCUGGCGUGAAAGCUCCCGGCUAAACCGGGAGAGGUCGUUGGAUACUGGCAAACUUGAGGAUGGUAGAGGCGUGUGGAAUUCCGGGUGUAGUGGUGAAAUGCGUAGAGAUCCGGAGGAACACCAGUGGCGAAGGCGACACGCUGGGCCAUACCUGACGCUAAAGCGCGACAGCAUGGGGAGCAAACGGG